ACGUAUCUCUGACGGGGUUCGGUGCGCCCUGCUCCGGCCCAAACGGCCGUGCAGCGGGUUCCCGUCCCUUUUCACACAUCACAAACCCACUGUGAACCUUCACGGCGGAGGGGAGGAGACUCCCCGAUGCCGCAUACCAAACUCCAGUCGUAAAGAAUGUCGUGCGGACUUGCGCCGCCUAAAACACAAAA
RNAcentral lists this unclassified non-coding RNA (191 nucleotides) under uncultured Trechispora. RNAcentral describes it as "sequence contains ITS1". The record is from RNAcentral. Lineage: Eukaryota; Fungi; Basidiomycota; Agaricomycetes; Polyporales; Polyporaceae.